This is a long non-coding RNA of Drosophila sechellia, 1198 nucleotides long. RefSeq lists it as uncharacterized. The transcript has 3 exons. Lineage: Eukaryota; Metazoa; Arthropoda; Insecta; Diptera; Drosophilidae. The record is from RefSeq and is a predicted model, not a curated record.
CAUCCGCACAUGUCACUGAUAUCGUAAUAUAUCGUUACAGAAUUAUUAUCAUGGAAUUGCUGAAUCUAAUGUUGGCCAUAAUAGUCGCAGAAAUUUACAUAGUUAGUCCAAAUAUUUUGGACCAUGCAGAUCUGGGUUAAAAUAGCCUGCAACAAGAUCGCUGUUCUUUGGUGUUGAAGCUAGAGGAUAAAGUGGUGGAGUGUAAUGGAGAAGUCCGCACCGUCAAGAACUGUCACCAGGGGCCACGUUCUGUCUGUUAUUUUCGGUGAGCUCGUGCGAACAAAAGCUCCACGCUGGAGUCGUGGCACAUUGCGAUACGCAGCAGAGCUACUUACACCCAAUCACCUAUGUCGACGAAGAAAUUAUCGUUAUUAACGAUAGACCAGCGUUCGUACGUGUGGAUAAUAUCUCGUCAAACUAAGACUGAAGUACUGUACAGAAUGAUAUUAUAUAUUUAUGUUUGGUUGUUAUGAAUCUGCUGACCCAGCGGAUUUGGCGAAUGCCUCCGUUUUGCUGAGCUGUUUCCGCCCACAAUGUUACACUAUGUUCAUGGAAUUGCAGAAUCUAAUGUUGGCCAUAAUAGUCGCAGAAAUUUACAUAGUUAGUCCAAGUAUUUUGGACCAUGCAGAUCUGGGUUAAAAUAGCCUGCAACAAGAUCGCUGUUCUUUGGUGUUGAAGCUAGAGGAUAAAGUGGUGGAGUGUAAUGGAGAAGUCCGCACCGUCAAGAACUGUCACCAGGGGCCACGUUCUGUCUGUUAUUUUCGGUGAGCUCGUGCGAACAAAAGCUCCACGCUGGAGUCGUGACACAUUGCGAUACGCAGCAGAGCGACUUACACCCAAUCACCUAUGUUGACGAAGAACUUAUCGUUAUUAACGAUAGACCAGCGUUCGUCCGUGUGGAUAACGAACAUACACCUUAAAGGUAGGUACCAGAGAACUGCAAGGGUGGAAUUUUUUGCCACUCGACCCACACAACAAUUUUGAGUGCGGCUGCCACUCACCACUAACAUCGCGGGUACUUACAAACACCCAGUAAAAAACCUGCAUGUGCAGGCAAGCCGCCGGUUGUGCGCGAGUCACCAUCAGAGCGGGAGUCCUCUUGGUUCUGUCAAUCGUGGCCCAGGUGACGUAGAUAGUUGCAAUAUCCAGUUAUGUAUUGCUCCUCUAGUCAAAUUUCCGAUUGCCUUCUUCAAUUAUG